Molecule: ribosomal RNA, 465 nt
Filed under: uncultured Klebsiella sp.
Lineage: Bacteria; Pseudomonadati; Pseudomonadota; Gammaproteobacteria; Enterobacterales; Enterobacteriaceae
Description: bacterial SSU rRNA
Rfam family: Bacterial small subunit ribosomal RNA
Source: RNAcentral
CCUACGGGCGGCUGCAGUGGGGAAUAUUGCACAAUGGGCGCAAGCCUGAUGCAGCCAUGCCGCGUGUGUGAAGAAGGCCUUCGGGUUGUAAAGCACUUUCAGCGGGGAGGAAGGCGGUGAGGUUAAUAACCUCAUCGAUUGACGUUACCCGCAGAAGAAGCACCGGCUAACUCCGUGCCAGCAGCCGCGGUAAUACGGAGGGUGCAAGCGUUAAUCGGAAUUACUGGGCGUAAAGCGCACGCAGGCGGUCUGUCAAGUCGGAUGUGAAAUCCCCGGGCUCAACCUGGGAACUGCAUUCGAAACUGGCAGGCUAGAGUCUUGUAGAGGGGGGUAGAAUUCCAGGUGUAGCGGUGAAAUGCGUAGAGAUCUGGAGGAAUACCGGUGGCGAAGGCGGCCCCCUGGACAAAGACUGACGCUCAGGUGCGAAAGCGCGGGGAGCAAACAGGAUUAGAUACCCUUGUAGUC